GACGAACGCUGGCGGCGUGCUUAACACAUGCAAGUCGAACGGUGAAGCGCCUUCCUUUUUGGUGGGUGUGGAUGAGUGGCGAACGGGUGAGUAACACGUGAGUAACCUGCCCCCUUCUUCUGGAUAACCGCAUGAAAGUGUGGCUAAUACGGGAUAUUCUGGGUCUGUCGCAUGAUGGGUCUGGGAAAGAUAUUGUUUCGGUGGGGGAUGGGCUCGCGGCCUAUCAGCUUGUUGGUGGGGUGAUGGCCUACCAAGGCGGUGACGGGUAGCCGGCCUGGGAGGGUGGACGGCCAGAGUGGGACUGAGACACGGCCCAGACUCCGACGGGAGGCAGCAGUGGGGAAUAUGGCACAAUGGGCGCAAGCCUGAUGCAGCGACGCCGCGGGAGGGAUGGCGGCCUUCGGGUUGUGAACCUCUUUCGCCAGUGAAGCAGGCCUGCCUCGUUUGUGGGUGGGUUGACGGUAGCUGGAUAAGAAGCGCCGGCUAACUACGUG
This 494-nucleotide ribosomal RNA is filed under the name uncultured bacterium. RNAcentral describes it as "partial 16S ribosomal RNA". It matches the Rfam family "Bacterial small subunit ribosomal RNA", at positions 28 to 507 of the family's 1533-position model. The record is from RNAcentral.